GGAGGUGGUGGUUGCUGGCCUCUGUGGGUUUCCCGGGUCAAAGAAACAGAAUUUAGAACCUGGAAGUGUUGAUCAAGACGAACACCGCAACUUUGAUCAACUUCAGGCUCUUCCGGUCCCUCUGCUGCCUGAGGCCAGGGAAGGAAGAGGUACCUAACAGGACAGCCACACCUUGGGAAGCCGAGGAUUUGGUGACCAAGAACCAGAUACAAUGAGACCAGUGGAAUUGCCAGAGUUGUGCCCAGAGAGCUCACUGUGAACUGGAUCCGCUUCAUGGAAUACUGGGGAGGAUUACUUAGGAGUCCUCGUGUGUUUGAAACCAGAAGGAACCUUCAAAACCAGCACCUGAUGGACGAGAUAGCUGGUGCACGGAGGGUUCUCAGACACAUGGACGGACUAUUCUCUGGAAGAAGCAGAGAUCACUUGGGAAUUUGGCAGGAUCCAGCUUGAGGAACUGCAUUAAAGAGCCC
Prionailurus viverrinus (fishing cat) is the source of this 470-nucleotide long non-coding RNA. RefSeq lists it as uncharacterized. The transcript has 5 exons. Lineage: Eukaryota; Metazoa; Chordata; Mammalia; Carnivora; Felidae. The record is from RefSeq and is a predicted model, not a curated record.